RNAcentral lists this ribosomal RNA (305 nucleotides) under uncultured bacterium. RNAcentral describes it as "bacterial SSU rRNA". It matches the Rfam family "Bacterial small subunit ribosomal RNA", at positions 333 to 652 of the family's 1533-position model. The record is from RNAcentral.
UGUGGCCUACGGGAGGCAGCAGUGGGGAAUAUUGGGCAAUGGGCGCAAGCCUGACCCAGCAACGCCGCGUGAAGGAAGAAGGCUUUCGGGUUGUAAACUUCUUUUCUCGGGGACGAAGAAAGUGACGGUACCCCUUGAAUAAGCCACGGCUAACUACGUGCCAGCAGCCGCGGUAAUACGUAGGUGGCAAGCGUUGUCCGGAUUUACUGGGUGUAAAGGGCGUGCAGCCGGGCCGACAAGUCAGAUGUGAAAUCCGCGGGCUUAACCCGCGAACUGCAUUUGAAACUAUUGGUCUUGAGUACCGG